GAUGAACGCUGACAGAAUGCUUAACACAUGCAAGUCUACUUGAUCCUUCGGGUGAAGGUGGCGGACGGGUGAGUAACGCGUAAAGAACUUGCCUUACAGACUGGGACAACAUUUGGAAACGAAUGCUAAUACCGGAUAUUAUGAUUGGGUCGCAUGAUCUGAUUAUGAAAGCUAUAUGCGCUGUGCGAGAGCUUUGCGUCCCAUUAGUUAGUUGGUGAGGUAACGGCUCACUAAGACGAUGAUGGGUAGCCGGCCUGAGAGGGUGAACGGCCACAAGGGGACUGAGACACGGCCCUUACUCCUACGGGAGGCAGCAGUGGGGAAUAUUGGACAAUGGACCAAAAGUCUGAUCCAGCAAUUCUGUGUGCACGAUGAAGUUUUUCGGAAUGUAAAGUGCUUUCAGUUGGGAAGAAGUCAGUGACGGUACCAACAGAAGAAGCGACGGCUAAAUACGUGCCAGCCGCCGCCGUAACAC
Molecule: ribosomal RNA, 475 nt
Filed under: uncultured bacterium
Lineage: Bacteria
Description: bacterial SSU rRNA
Rfam family: Bacterial small subunit ribosomal RNA
Source: RNAcentral